GAAACGACUGCUAAGACUGGAUAGGAAGAUAAAAGGCAUCUUUUAUCUUUUAAAAGACCUAGUAAUAGGUAUGCUUUAGGAGGGGCUUGCGCCAUAUUAGUUAGUUGGUAGGGUAAUGGCCUACCAAGACGAUGAUGUGUAGCUGGACUGAGAGGUUGAACAGCCACAUUGGGACUGAAACACGGCCCAAACUCCUACGGGAGGCAGCAGUAGGGAAUUUUCGGCAAUGGAGGAAACUCUGACCGAGCAACGCCGCGUGAAUGACGAAGUACUUCGGUAUGUAAAGUUCUUUUAUCAAGGAAGAAAAGCAAAUGGCGAACCAUUUGUUUGCCGGUACUUGAUGAAUAAGCCCCGGCUAAUUAUGUGCCAGCAGCCGCGGUAAGACAUAAGGGGCAAGUGUUAUCCGGAAUUAUUGGGCGUAAAGGGUGCGUAGGCGGUCUAGUAAGUCAGUGGUGUAAUGGCAACGCUUAACGUUGUCCGGCUAUUGAAACUGCUAAACUUGAGUUAGAUAGAGGCGAGUGGAAUUCCAUGUGUAGCGGUAAAAUGCGUAAAUAUAUGGAGGAACACCAGAGGCGUAGGCGGCUCGCUGGGUCUUAACUGACGCUGAGGCACGAAAGCGUGGGGAGCAAACAGGAUUAGAUACCCUGGUAGUCCACGCCGUAAACGAUGAGUACUAAGUGUCGGGUUAAACCGGUACUGAAGUUAACACAUUAAGUACUCCGCCUGAGUAGUACGUACGCAAGUAUGAAACUUAAAGGAAUUGACGGGACUCCGCACAAGCGGUGGAUCAUGUUGUUUAAUUCGAAGAUACCCGAAAAACCUUACCAGGUCUUGACAUGUUUUUGCAAAAUGAUAGUAAUAUCGUGGAGGUUACCAGAAGCACAGGUGGUGCAUGGUUGUCGUCAGCUCGUGUCGUGAGAUGUUAGGUUAAGUCCUAAAACGAGCGAAACCCUUAUCGUUAGUUGCCAGCACGUCAUGGUGGGGACUUUAACGAGACUGCCAAUGAUAAAUUGGAGGAAGGUGAGGAUCACGUCAAAUCAGCAUGCCCCUUAUGACCUGAGCUACAAACGUGAUACAAUGGCUGUUACAAAGGGUAGCUGAAACGCAAGUUCUUGGCCAAUCCCCAAAAACAGUCCCAGUCCGGAUUGAAGUCUGCAACUCGACUUCAUGAAGUUGGAAUCGCUAGUAAUCGCGAAUCAGCAUGUCGCGGUGAAUACGUUCUCGGGGUUUGUACACACCGCCCGUCA
This 1247-nucleotide ribosomal RNA is filed under the name Chickpea phyllody phytoplasma. RNAcentral describes it as "bacterial SSU rRNA". It matches the Rfam family "Bacterial small subunit ribosomal RNA", at positions 153 to 1399 of the family's 1533-position model. The record is from RNAcentral. Lineage: Bacteria; Bacillati; Mycoplasmatota; Mollicutes; Acholeplasmatales; Acholeplasmataceae.